UAAGUUAGCGCUUAUGGGUUUCCCCCGCCCUGGUAGUCUUAGUAAGCCGGGAAGCUUAUGACUAAGAGCACCACGAUGAUGAUCCACUUCAUCAUGACCCUUUCCUUAUU
Molecule: small RNA, 110 nt
Filed under: Escherichia coli
Lineage: Bacteria; Pseudomonadati; Pseudomonadota; Gammaproteobacteria; Enterobacterales; Enterobacteriaceae
Description: QUAD RNA
Rfam family: Short Intergenic Abundant RNA
About the family: This family contains multiple ncRNA from E. coli that were identified in a large scale screen of E. coli, were they were called candidates 43,55 and 61. These RNAs have also been identified by other groups and called QUAD RNAs.
Source: RNAcentral